GAAGACUCAGCGAGUCAGGCAGAGUCGGGAGCUGGAUGUGGGUGCCAUUUGUAUUUGUGGCAUAAAUGUUCAGAAUCAAGACUUCAUCUUGAUGGACUUUUCCUGUGAACCUGAUGGUAAACUUACAACAAUUUGCCUUCGGUCAUUGAACCCAACACCAUAGACACGUUUAUGAGGGCCAGCGUUCUGUGUGAAAUGCUGCCAGGGCUAGGAAGGUAAGAGAACCAGGAGCCCACUGACGGAGCCCACAACCUUCCCUGGUUCCUCAGGGCCGAAUGCUACAGCAAAUGUCGGGAAAGGGCUGCAAGCUGCCUUAACAUCUUCACAUGGAAGU
Long non-coding RNA from Alexandromys fortis (reed vole), 334 nucleotides. RefSeq lists it as uncharacterized. The transcript has 3 exons. NCBI's taxonomy places the organism in Eukaryota, Metazoa, Chordata, Mammalia, Rodentia, Cricetidae. The record is from RefSeq and is a predicted model, not a curated record.